GUGGGGAAUAUUGGGCAAUGGGGGGAACCCUGACCCAGCAACGCCGCGUGAAGGAAGAAGGCCUUCGGGUUGUAAACUUCUAUCCUUGGUGAAGAGGAGAAUGACGGUAGCCAAGAAGGAAGCCCCGGCUAACUACGUGCCAGCAGCCGCGGUAAUACGUAGGGGGCAAGCGUUGUCCGGAAUGAUUGGGCGUAAAGGGCGUGUAGGCGGCGAUCUAAGUCUGGAGUGAAAGUCCUGCUUUUAAGGUGGGAAUUGCUUUGGAUACUGGAUGGCUAGAGUGCAGGAGAGGUUAGUGGAAUUCCCAGUGUAGCGGUGAAAUGCGUAGAGAUUGGGAGGAACACCAGUGGCGAAGGCGACUAACUGGACUGUAACUGACGCUGAGGCGCGAAAGUGUGGGGAGCAAACAGGAUUAGAUACCCUGGUAGUCCA
Molecule: ribosomal RNA, 429 nt
Filed under: uncultured bacterium
Lineage: Bacteria
Description: bacterial SSU rRNA
Rfam family: Bacterial small subunit ribosomal RNA
Source: RNAcentral